UACGUAGGGCGCAAGCGUUGUCCGGAAUUAUUGGGCGUAAAGAGCUCGUAGGUGGUGUGUCGCGUCUGCCGUGAAAGCCCGGGGCUUAACUCCGGGUCUGCGGUGGAUACGGGCAGACUAGAGGCAGGUAGGGGAGAACGGAAUUCCCGGUGUAGCGGUGAAAUGCGCAGAUAUCGGGAGGAACACCGGUGGCGAAGGCGGUUCUCUGG
Molecule: ribosomal RNA, 209 nt
Filed under: uncultured bacterium
Lineage: Bacteria
Description: partial 16S ribosomal RNA
Rfam family: Bacterial small subunit ribosomal RNA
Source: RNAcentral